Molecule: ribosomal RNA, 1134 nt
Filed under: Limosilactobacillus fermentum
Lineage: Bacteria; Bacillati; Bacillota; Bacilli; Lactobacillales; Lactobacillaceae
Description: bacterial SSU rRNA
Rfam family: Bacterial small subunit ribosomal RNA
Source: RNAcentral
CUGCCCAGAAGCGGGGGACAACAUUUGGAAACAGAUGCUAAUACCGCAUAACAACGUUGUUCGCAUGAACAACGCUUAAAAGAUGGCUUCUCGCUAUCACUUCUGGAUGGACCUGCGGUGCAUUAGCUUGUUGGUGGGGUAACGGCCUACCAAGGCGAUGAUGCAUAGCCGAGUUGAGAGACUGAUCGGCCACAAUGGGACUGAGACACGGCCCAUACUCCUACGGGAGGCAGCAGUAGGGAAUCUUCCACAAUGGGCGCAAGCCUGAUGGAGCAACACCGCGUGAGUGAAGAAGGGUUUCGGCUCGUAAAGCUCUGUUGUUAAAGAAGAACACGUAUGAGAGUAACUGUUCAUACGUUGACGGUAUUUAACCAGAAAGUCACGGCUAACUACGUGCCAGCAGCCGCGGUAAUACGUAGGUGGCAAGCGUUAUCCGGAUUUAUUGGGCGUAAAGAGAGUGCAGGCGGUUUUCUAAGUCUGAUGUGAAAGCCUUCGGCUUAACCGGAGAAGUGCAUCGGAAACUGGAUAACUUGAGUGCAGAAGAGGGUAGUGGAACUCCAUGUGUAGCGGUGGAAUGCGUAGAUAUAUGGAAGAACACCAGUGGCGAAGGCGGCUACCUGGUCUGCAACUGACGCUGAGACUCGAAAGCAUGGGUAGCGAACAGGAUUAGAUACCCUGGUAGUCCAUGCCGUAAACGAUGAGUGCUAGGUGUUGGAGGGUUUCCGCCCUUCAGUGCCGGAGCUAACGCAUUAAGCACUCCGCCUGGGGAGUACGACCGCAAGGUUGAAACUCAAAGGAAUUGACGGGGGCCCGCACAAGCGGUGGAGCAUGUGGUUUAAUUCGAAGCUACGCGAAGAACCUUACCAGGUCUUGACAUCUUGCGCCAACCCUAGAGAUAGGGCGUUUCCUUCGGGAACGCAAUGACAGGUGGUGCAUGGUCGUCGUCAGCUCGUGUCGUGAGAUGUUGGGUUAAGUCCCGCAACGAGCGCAACCCUUGUUACUAGUUGCCAGCAUUAAGUUGGGCACUCUAGUGAGACUGCCGGUGACAAACCGGAGGAAGGUGGGGACGACGUCAGAUCAUCAUGCCCCUUAUGACCUGGGCUACACACGUGCUACAAUGGACGGUACAACGAG